ACUCCUACGGGAGGCAGCAGUGGGGAAUAUUGCACAAUGGGCGCAAGCCUGAUGCAGCCAUGCCGCGUGUAUGAAGAAGGCCUUCGGGUUGUAAAGUACUUUCAGCAGUGAGGAAGGUGGAUAUGUUAAUAGCAUAUUCAUUUGACGUUAGCUGCAGAAGAAGCACCGGCUAACUCCGUGCCAGCAGCCGCGGUAAUACGGAGGGUGCGAGCGUUAAUCGGAAUUACUGGGCGUAAAGCGCAUGCAGGUGGUUUGUUAAGUCAGAUGUGAAAGCCCGGGGCUCAACCUCGGAAUUGCAUUUGAAACUGGCAAACUAGAGUACUGUAGAGGGGGUAGAAUUUCAGGUGUAGCGGUGAAAUGCGUAGAGAUCUGAAGGAAUACCGGUGGCGAAGGCGGCCCCCUGGAACAGAUACUGACACUCAGAUGCGAAAGCGUGGGAGCAAACAGGAUUAGAUACCCUGGUAGCUCU
This 469-nucleotide ribosomal RNA is filed under the name uncultured bacterium. RNAcentral describes it as "bacterial SSU rRNA". It matches the Rfam family "Bacterial small subunit ribosomal RNA", at positions 335 to 797 of the family's 1533-position model. The record is from RNAcentral.